GACGAACGCUGGCGGCGUGCCUAACACAUGCAAGUCGAACGGGGGGAACAUGAAGUAUUUCGGUACGGAAUGCGCCCCUAGUGGCGAACGGGUGAGUAACACGUGGGCAACCUGCCCCAGACUGGGGGAUAACAUUGUGAAAACAGUGCUAAUACCGCAUGACAGGGUUCCGGGCAUCCGGGACCCUUGAAAGGAGAAAUCCGGUCAGGGGAUGGGGCCCGCGUCCAAUUAGCUAGUUGGCGGGGUAACGGCCCACCAAGGCGACGAUUGGUAGCCGAACUGAGAGGUUGAUCGGCCACAUUGGGACUGAGACACGGCCCAGACUCCUACGGGAGGCAGCAGUGGGGAAUAUUGGGCAAUGGGCGAAAGCCUGACCCAGCGACGCCGCGUGAAGGAUGAAGGUCUUCGGAUUGUAAACUUCUUUGAUCAGGGAAGAAAGAAUGACGGUACCUGAAAAACAAGCCACGGCUAACUACGUG
RNAcentral lists this ribosomal RNA (479 nucleotides) under uncultured bacterium. RNAcentral's name for it is "bacterial SSU rRNA". It matches the Rfam family "Bacterial small subunit ribosomal RNA", at positions 28 to 507 of the family's 1533-position model. The record is from RNAcentral.